UCAAACUUGGUCAUUUAGAGGAAGUAAAAGUCGUAACAAGGUUUCCGUAGGUGAACCUGCGGAAGGAUCAUUAUCGUAUCUCUGACGGUGCGGGUGCACCCUGCUCCGGUCCAAAAGGGCCGUGCAGCGGGUGGCCCGUGCUGAUCAACCCUUUGCAAACCCACUGUGAACCUUCACGGCAGAGGGUGCCGGCGAGAGCUGCGCCCGAAGCCGCAUUUACCAAAAACACCAGUUUGAAAUGAAUGUCCAGCAGACUUGUGUCUGCCUAUGAAGCAUGACAACUUUCAACAACGGAUCUCUUGGCUCUCGCAUCGAUGAAGAACGCAGC
RNAcentral lists this unclassified non-coding RNA (328 nucleotides) under uncultured fungus. Its description in RNAcentral is "partial contains small subunit ribosomal RNA, internal transcribed spacer 1, and 5.8S ribosomal RNA". The stretch from base 1 to 73 matches the Rfam family "Eukaryotic small subunit ribosomal RNA", at positions 1759 to 1831 of the family's 1831-position model. Lineage: Eukaryota; Fungi. The record is from RNAcentral.